RNAcentral lists this ribosomal RNA (426 nucleotides) under uncultured beta proteobacterium. RNAcentral's name for it is "bacterial SSU rRNA". It matches the Rfam family "Bacterial small subunit ribosomal RNA", at positions 356 to 774 of the family's 1533-position model. The record is from RNAcentral. Lineage: Bacteria; Pseudomonadati; Pseudomonadota; Betaproteobacteria.
GGGGAAUUUUGGACAAUGGGCGCAAGCCUGAUCCAGCCAUGCCGCGUGAGUGAAGAAGGCCUUCGGGUUGUAAAGCUCUUUCGCAAGGGAAGAAAACGGAUGGGUUAAUACCCUGUUCGGAUGACGGUACCGUCAUAAGAAGCACCGGCUAACUACGUGCCAGCAGCCGCGGUAAUACGUAGGGUGCGAGCGUUAAUCGGAAUUACUGGGCGUAAAGUGUGCGCAGGCGGUUGAUUAAGACAGGCGUGAAAUCCCCGGGCUUAACCUGGGAACUGCGCUUGUGACUGGUCGGCUAGAGUACGGCAGAGGGGGGUGGAAUUCCACGUGUAGCAGUGAAAUGCGUAGAGAUGUGGAGGAACACCGAUGGCGAAGGCAGCCCCCUGGGCCGAUACUGACGCUGAGGUGCGAAAGCGUGGGGAGCAAACA